CAAUAGCGUAUAUUUAAGUUGUUGCAGUUAAAAAGCUCGUAGUUGGAUUUCGGGUGGGUACCGCCGGUCUCCCAUUGGGUAUGUACUGGCGUGGCCCGCCUUGCUGUCGGGGACGGUCUCCUGGGCUUAAUUGCUCGAGAAUCGGAGUCGACGAUGUUACUUUGAGUAAAUUAGAGUGUUCAAAGCAAGCCUACGCUCUGAAUAUGAUAGCAUGGGAUAACACGACAGGACUCUGGCCUAUCGUGUUGGUCUGUAGGACCGGAUUAAUGAUUAAGAGGGACAGUCGGGGGCAUUCGUAUUCCAUUGUCAGAGGUGAAAUUCUUGGAUUUAUGGAAGACGAACAUCUGCGAAAGCAUUUGCCAAGGAUGUUUUCAUUG
This 377-nucleotide ribosomal RNA is filed under the name uncultured eukaryote. Its description in RNAcentral is "partial 18S ribosomal RNA". It matches the Rfam family "Eukaryotic small subunit ribosomal RNA", at positions 592 to 975 of the family's 1831-position model. The record is from RNAcentral.